UACGUAGGUGGCAAGCGUUGUCCGGAAUCACUGGGCGUAAAGCGCGCGCAGGCGGCGAUCUACGUCUGGGGUGAAAGCCCGGAGCUCAACUCCGGGACUGCCUUGGAUACGGGAUCGCUUGAGGAUUGGAGAGGCAAGGGGAAUUCCACGUGUAGCGGUGAAAUGCGUAGAGAUCGGGAGGAACAUCUGUGGCGAAGGCGGCCACCUGGACCAGCACUGACACUGAGGCACGAAAGCGUGGGGAGCAAACAGG
This 253-nucleotide ribosomal RNA is filed under the name uncultured bacterium. Its description in RNAcentral is "partial 16S ribosomal RNA". It matches the Rfam family "Bacterial small subunit ribosomal RNA", at positions 524 to 776 of the family's 1533-position model. The record is from RNAcentral.